Drosophila ananassae is the source of this 1378-nucleotide long non-coding RNA. RefSeq lists it as uncharacterized. NCBI's taxonomy places the organism in Eukaryota, Metazoa, Arthropoda, Insecta, Diptera, Drosophilidae. The record is from RefSeq and is a predicted model, not a curated record. The transcript has 2 exons.
AAACAAAACGUUAGGUCCAGACAAACGCGCAAAAGUUCUUCAAAAGUUCUAGCAAUAGAGCUUACGCAACCACGAGUGCACCGGACGCAAUAUGAUGCCGUGGUACCAACAAGGGUCACACGGAUCGAAAGACACGCGCGCUGAGUAAGCAUUGAUUAUGCUUGCGAUCGUGGAAGAGCCAAAAGAAAGAAAACACCAAAAUAUUUGGAAAGCUCAGUGAACCCAACGGCAAGAGCCAACAACACAGUGCAGUUGCAUUGACCAAUUAGGAGCAAAGACAUGGACUUCAGUUACAGCAACAAGUUACUGACUUCAAGUUACAGCGAUUGUGGCAGCAUUGAAGCAACGCAUUAUUAUUCAUAAGAAUCAUAAUUGUCAGUUCAAAAUCUAAACUCAAAUAAAUAUAAUGUAAAGUGACUUAAUUUUUUUUUUUUAUAAAGAAUAGUAACCUAAUCUUUUAACUCAUGUAUAUUUUAAAAACAUAUUACUGCUACCAAUUAAUCACCAAUAAUGCCUCUCUGCGACUGCAAGCAAAACUACAAGCAAAAACCCUCAAUGAGAUUAUCAGUUUAAGAAAGAGAGUAAGAUGCUCUCUUGGGCCUGUCACAAGAAACUUUUGCGUCAAUUUUUAUUGUAUGGAAUUCGUAUUUUAUAUAUUGUAGUCAGUGAUUGAAGUGAGACGACUGCCCUAGUCACUCUAACACGUUCACAGUCAUACUUUAAACUUGUAUAUCAUCCGCCUGUUAAAGGAACCACAUAUCUUGAACCAGUCUUCAAGAUAUUCAGAAUUAUGUAAGUUAACAAUAAUUAAAUUACUAAAAUAUCAAGCCACCGGACUCCGUCGCUGGUGCAGCUCCACCGAAAAGUCUUAGCUAACUCAGGGAUUGAAUUCAGAAUUCAAAUCAGAAUUGGUUUAAGUUUGUCAGUUUAAAAAUUACAAUCAAACAAUAAACAACCAUAAAUCACAAACCCAACAUUUUAGCUAUAACCAGGCCCAACGUACUAUCCACGACCCCAACAUUUAUGGAAAAGAAGUCUUUCUAACAGAACCAACCUUCGGCGCUACCGAAGCUAACAUGACUGAUUCAACAGAAAAUCGAAGUCAGGAAGAAUACUUAGAACAAGCUGAACAGCACCCAGAAGAGUAUGACGAAGACACAGAACAAUACAAUAACACAAAACAAAAUUUGUUUAGGGUAAAGUCCUCCACACUCAUUUUUAAGAGGGGAAGACGGACGUGUGCCCAAAAAAAAGUCCAGGAAAAAACGUAUUGACAUGAACACAGAUAAAAAUCUUCACAGACCAUCAAGCUCUGACUUACUCCUUGAGUAGUUGGAAUGGAAAUCCUAGAAUAAAAAUGUGAAGAUCUCGAAGAAUA